Molecule: long non-coding RNA, 1026 nt
Filed under: Sarcophilus harrisii (Tasmanian devil)
Lineage: Eukaryota; Metazoa; Chordata; Mammalia; Dasyuromorphia; Dasyuridae
Description: lncRNA (ENSSHAG00000026671.1)
Source: RNAcentral
GAGGUUUCACACUGGGUCAUUUUAUUUUCUUUUUAACAGAUCAAGUGGAUGUUGGUGCAUUAGAAGUGCAGUGAUACUCAGAGCUCUAGGUGCAUCGAUAUCAGCUCUAUUUGAAGGUCAUAAGAUGGAGCUUUUUCUCUUUGUAUUGCAUGGAUCUGUGGUCUUGAGGAACACUUUACAGCUCCUGGUUUUCUCUCUUGACUUUAUGGGCCCUGCCAGGAAUCUGACGUAGAUGGAAUCGGGGGGAAGGCUUUUUACAGUAGGCAAAGUCAGCUUCAAUGCUCAUUGGGUCAGACAGCUGGCAUCCUGAAAAGAAAGGAAUACAAGGUUCUUCGUCAAUGGAAUGGAAGCCCCACCAUGUCUUGACCUGCUUUAGGAUGGAAAAAGUUACGAUGAUCUGGGUCCAUUGAUAGACUAGUAUCCAGAACUUGUCCAGGUAUUCAAGAAGUGCGAUGAAGAAAAGCUGCUUUGUGGUUUCAUCCAGAAUGGUCUUACAGGCAUUGCUUUUCUCCUGGUAGAAGGUGAUUAACCCAAUGUAUGCCUUCUGGGUCCAGUUGAAAAGGACCUUUGCUUGUUUCUGCUUCAGUUCUUUCCACAGGGACAGGUUGCAUCUUUGGCUCCAGUGGAACAGAGUAGAAAAGAAUCGCAUGGAGCAGACCCACAGCACAUGCAAGGUCUUCAUCAGAACUAGGUGCAUGGGGGUCAGAAGCUCCACAGAGAGAACUUGGGUCAUGAGGAUGACCAGCUCCCUACCUUCCUGCAGACUUCCCAAGAUGUAGAAUCCAAUCACAAAAAUGGAGAGAUAGUGGGAGGCCACAUCCUCUAGAGCUGUAGAGAAACCCAUGUAGAUUUUUGUUUUUUACCCAGAGGGCCUGGAACAAACAAGAAAUGAUGAAUAGUGAGAAGGGAGGGUCUUCCAGGCCCUGCAAAUCAGUCUCUGUAGAGCAUUACGCUCUGGGCUGGUAGGAGAUAGAGAGAGGCCCUUGCUCUAGGGCUUCACAGCAUCCCCACUUUGGUCUCUAGCAG